RNAcentral lists this transfer RNA (59 nucleotides) under Escherichia coli 2-210-07_S3_C1. RNAcentral describes it as "partial tRNA-Lys". It matches the Rfam family "tRNA", at positions 1 to 57 of the family's 71-position model. Rfam says of the family: Transfer RNA (tRNA) molecules are approximately 80 nucleotides in length. The record is from RNAcentral. Lineage: Bacteria; Pseudomonadati; Pseudomonadota; Gammaproteobacteria; Enterobacterales; Enterobacteriaceae. RNAcentral also lists the same sequence under 1 other name.
GGGUCGUUAGCUCAGUUGGUAGAGCAGUUGACUUUUAAUCAAUUGGUCGCAGGUUCGAA